UUGAAGAUAUAACAACAAAGCUACAAGAAACAAUUAACAGCAGUUUUGAGAAAGUAUCGGAUACAAUCAAAUCCAGUGUAGAAAACACAUUCGGCGAUUAUUUCCAAAAGAUCAACCUAACCAAGUUAUCAGAAGAACAUCAAAUACAGAAGUCCAAUUUACAAAGUUAUUUAGUAGCACAAGUAGAAGCACACGGUUCAGAAAACACUUUCGUCGAAACUGACAUUAUCAACAUUGGUAUUUCUUGCUUAAAUGGAAAAGGAGUUACUGUCUUGGUUGGACCUCCUGGCACUGGAAAAACCAGAAAUAGCUUAGAGUUGCUGAGAAAAUAUACAGAACAACACACAGACUUCGGUAUGAUCCAGCUACAUGAAUCAUCGCUAUUUAGU
Molecule: long non-coding RNA, 389 nt
Organism: Mytilus californianus (California mussel)
Lineage: Eukaryota; Metazoa; Mollusca; Bivalvia; Mytilida; Mytilidae
Exons: 3
Source: RefSeq, a predicted model, not a curated record